CUUCUUUAUCACCGAGUGCUUGCACUCACCGAUAAAGAGUUGAGUGGCGAACGGGUGAGUAACACGUGGGCAACCUGCCCAAAAGAGGGGGAUAACACUUGGAAACAGGUGCUAAUACCGCAUAACCAUAGUUACCGCAUGGUAACUAUGUAAAAGGUGGCUAUGCUACCGCUUUUGGAUGGGCCCGCGGCGCAUUAGCUAGUUGGUGGGGUAAAGGCUUACCAAGGCGAUGAUGCGUAGCCGAACUGAGAGGUUGAUCGGCCACAUUGGGACUGAGACACGGCCCAAACUCCUACGGGAGGCAGCAGUAGGGAAUCUUCCACAAUGGGCGAAAGCCUGAUGGAGCAACGCCGCGUGGGUGAAGAAGGUCUUCGGAUCGUAAAACCCUGUUGUUAGAGAAGAAAGUGCGUGAGAGUAACUGUUCACGUUUCGACGGUAUCUAACCAGAAAGCCACGGCUAACUACGUGCCAGCAGCCGCGGUAAUACGUAGGUGGCAAGCGUUAUCCGGAUUUAUUGGGCGUAAAGGGAACGCAGGCGGUUGCUUAGGUCUGAUGUGAAAGCCUUCGGCUUAACCGAAGAAGUGCAUCGGAAACCGGGCAACUUGAGUGCAGAAGAGGACAGUGGAACUCCAUGUGUAGCGGUGGAAUGCGUAGAUAUAUGGAAGAACACCAGUGGCGAAGGCGGCUGUCUGGUCUGCAACUGA
RNAcentral lists this ribosomal RNA (704 nucleotides) under uncultured Lactobacillus sp. RNAcentral describes it as "bacterial SSU rRNA". It matches the Rfam family "Bacterial small subunit ribosomal RNA", at positions 70 to 743 of the family's 1533-position model. Lineage: Bacteria; Bacillati; Bacillota; Bacilli; Lactobacillales; Lactobacillaceae. The record is from RNAcentral.